This 305-nucleotide ribosomal RNA is filed under the name uncultured bacterium. RNAcentral describes it as "bacterial SSU rRNA". It matches the Rfam family "Bacterial small subunit ribosomal RNA", at positions 333 to 655 of the family's 1533-position model. The record is from RNAcentral.
GCUAUCCUACGGGGCGCAGCAGUGGGGAAUAUUGCACAAUGGGGGAAACCCUGAUGCAGCGACGCCGCGUGAGCGAGGAAGUACCUCGGUAUGUAAAGCUCUGUCAGCAGGGAAGAUAAUGACAGUACCUGACCAAGAAGCCCCGGCUAACUACGUGCCAGCAGCCGCGGUAAUACGUAGGGGGCAAGCGUUAUCCGGAUUUACUGGGUGUAAAGGGCGCGUAGGCGGGAAUGCAAGUCAGAUGUGAAAUCCAUGGGCUUAACCCAUGAACUGCAUUUGAAACUGUAUUUCUUGAGUGUCGGAGA